This is a non-coding RNA of Phrynosoma platyrhinos (Desert horned lizard), 72 nucleotides long. Lineage: Eukaryota; Metazoa; Chordata; Lepidosauria; Squamata; Phrynosomatidae. The record is from the annotation of a GenBank genome assembly.
GCCAACGUGGUCUAGUGGUUUGAGCGUUGGGACUAUGAAUCCAAAGUCCAGGGUUCGAAUCCCGACUCGGCC